CCCGGGAAACUGGGUUUAAUACCGUAUACGCCCUUCGGGGGAAAGAAUUUCGGUGAGGGAUCGGCCCGCGUUAGAUUAGUUAGUUGGUGGGGUAAUGGCCUACCAAGACUACGAUCUAUAGCUGGUUUGAGAGGAUGAUCAGCAACACUGGGACUGAGACACGGCCCAGACUCCUACGGGAGGCAGCAGUGGGGAAUCUUAGACAAUGGGGGCAACCCUGAUCUAGCGAUGCCGCGUGAGUGAUGAAGGCCUUAGGGUCGUAAAGCUCUUUCGCCUGUGAUGAUAAUGACAGUAGCAGGUAAAGAAACCCCGGCUAACUCCGUGCCAGCAGCCGCGGUAAUACGGAGGGGGUUAGCGUUGUUCGGAAUUACUGGGCGUAAAGCGCACGUAGGCGGAUUAGUCAGUCAGAGGUGAAAUCCCAGGGCUCAACCCUGGAACUGCCUUUGAUACUGCUAGUCUUGAGUUCGAGAGAGGUAAGUGGAAUUCCGAGUGUAGAGGUGAAAUUCGUAGAUAUUCGGAGGAACACCAGUGGCGAAGGCGGCUUACUGGCUCGAUACUGACGCUGAGGUGCGAAAGUGUGGGGAGCAAACAGGAUUAGAUACCCUGGUAGUCCACACCGUAAACGAUGAAUGCCAGUCGUCGGGUAGCAUGCUAUUCGGUGACACACCUAACGGAUUAAGCAUUCCGCCU
RNAcentral lists this ribosomal RNA (690 nucleotides) under Celeribacter sp. RNAcentral describes it as "bacterial SSU rRNA". It matches the Rfam family "Bacterial small subunit ribosomal RNA", at positions 148 to 874 of the family's 1533-position model. Lineage: Bacteria; Pseudomonadati; Pseudomonadota; Alphaproteobacteria; Rhodobacterales; Roseobacteraceae. The record is from RNAcentral.